This 253-nucleotide ribosomal RNA is filed under the name uncultured bacterium. Its description in RNAcentral is "partial 16S ribosomal RNA". It matches the Rfam family "Bacterial small subunit ribosomal RNA", at positions 524 to 776 of the family's 1533-position model. The record is from RNAcentral.
UACGGAGGGGGCUAGCGUUGUUCGGAAUUACUGGGCGUAAAGCGCGCGUAGGCGGACCUGCAAGUCGGGGGUGAAAGCCCGAGGCUCAACCUCGGAACUGCCUUCGAUACUGCGGGUCUCGAGUCCGGGAGAGGUGAGUGGAAUUCCUGGUGUAGAGGUGAAAUUCGUAGAUAUUAGGAAGAACACCAGUGGCGAAGGCGGCUCACUGGCCCGGUACUGACGCUGAGGCGCGAAAGCGUGGGGAGCAAACAGG